AACGAACGCUGGCGGCAUGCCUAACACAUGCAAGUCGAACGAGACCUUCGGGUCUUGUGGCGCACGGGUGCGUAACGCGUGGGAACCUGCCCUUAGGUUCGGAAUAACUCCCCGAAAGGGGUGCUAAUUCCGGAUAAUGUCUUCGGACCAAAGAUUUAUCGCCUUUGGAUGGGCCCGCGUUGGAUUAGCUGGUUGGUAGGGUAAAAGCCUACCAAGGCGACGAUCCAUAGCUGGUCUGAGAGGAUGAUCAGCCACACUGGGACUGAGACACGGCCCAGACUCCUACGGGAGGCAGCAGUGGGGGAUAUUGGACAACGGGCGAAAGCCUGAUCCAGCAAUGCCGCGUGAGUGAUGAAGGCCUUAGGGUUGUAAAGCUCUUUUACCCGGGAUGAUAAUGACAGUACCGGGAGAAUAAGCUCCGGCUAACUCCGUG
This 433-nucleotide ribosomal RNA is filed under the name uncultured bacterium. RNAcentral describes it as "partial 16S ribosomal RNA". It matches the Rfam family "Bacterial small subunit ribosomal RNA", at positions 29 to 507 of the family's 1533-position model. The record is from RNAcentral.